GAUGAACGCUAGCUACAGGCUUAACACAUGCAAGUCGAGGGGCAGCAUGAACUUAGCUUGCUAAGUUUGAUGGCGACCGGCGCACGGGUGAGUAACACGUAUCCAACCUGCCGAUGACUCGGGGAUAGCCUUUCGAAAGAAAGAUUAAUACCCGAUGGCAUAGUUCUUCCGCAUGGUAGAACUAUUAAAGGAUUUCGGUCAUCGAUGGGGAUGCGUUCCAUUAGGUUGUUGGCGGGGUAACGGCCCACCAAGCCUUCGAUGGAUAGGGGUUCUGAGAGGAAGGUCCCCCACAUUGGAACUGAGGCACGGUCCAAACUCCUACGGGAGGCAGCAGUGAGGAAUAUUGGUCAAUGGACGAGAGUCUGAACCAGCCAAGUAGCGUGAAGGAUGACUGCCCUAUGGGUUGUAAACUUCUUUUAUACGGGAAUAAAGUGAGGCACGUGUGCCUUUUUGUAUGUACCGUAUGAAUAAGGAUCGGCUAACUCCGUGCCAGCAGCCGCGGU
Molecule: ribosomal RNA, 503 nt
Filed under: uncultured bacterium
Lineage: Bacteria
Description: bacterial SSU rRNA
Rfam family: Bacterial small subunit ribosomal RNA
Source: RNAcentral